Molecule: non-coding RNA, 1150 nt
Organism: Oryza sativa Japonica Group (Japanese rice)
Lineage: Eukaryota; Viridiplantae; Streptophyta; Magnoliopsida; Poales; Poaceae
Source: RefSeq, a predicted model, not a curated record
CAAUGUAAAUCUUCUAUUGACACCAACUACAUGAAAUCGGUACUGUCCAAGGGAUGCAGCUUAAUCUGUUCAAGGCGCUAAUGUGCCAAUGCCAGAUGUAAUUUUUGAACCACAUGUUGCAUAAUAUGUAGGAACAAAAGGCUUAGUUCAAUGAACAUAAAUGACUGGAAUUAUUGCAAUGAACGUCCAAACAGUCUAGCUCCUUCCCUUUAUAUGAAGAAGACAUAAUAUGGAUAAGUGCUCAAUUGCACUGUCUCUUCUCAGCGGAUAAAUGGCAAUUGGGCAAUUGAUCUCCACCCGGUGAUCUCCACCCAAGCUCAACUUGAAUUAGAUAUGCUUAUGACGACUUUACAAUCCCAGCAGAUACAUCCUGAAAGACCAGAUAACAGAAGCUGUACACUGAGCCCGGUUGGAUUUACGACAACAGCAUACUAUGAGCUAAUAACAUAUCAUGGCAUCCUAUGGCGCCCGGCACACUUCAUCUGGAUUAAAGCAAUACCAAACACCUGCAAAAUCUUCCUUUGGCUAGCCUUUCGGGGAAGGCUAAACACAAAUGAUAACAGGGUGAAGAAAUGCUGGGCAUCUGAUCCACAUUGUGCGGUUUGCCCGGCUAUAGAAACAGCUAAUCACAUCAUUCUACGCUGCAAGUUAGCCACUGAAAUCUGGAACAAACUCAACCUCCUUGAUCAGGCAAUUCAGAGUGCUGACAUUCUACAGUUCACCGAGCAUGUCCUGGGAAUUCUACCGACUCAACUUAAACUGGGAUGGCCAAUAUGCUUCGCUGCCUGUUCACACAGCUUAUGAAAAGCACGCAAUCAUAGAACCUUCAGAGAAGAAGAACUCUCCGUAACUAAUGUGACGCAUCAAAUCAAGGACUGCCUACACUUAUGGAAAAACCGAGUUAAACCACAAUGUCAGCCGCCAAUAUGUAGUUGGGCAGCUCUACUAGCAUAGAUGUGGUUUCUGGGUGGGGGGUCUCUCUAAUCCCUUUCUUCCUUCUUUUCUACCUCUUCUUUUUCUUGCCUUUCUGCUUGAAUGUAUUUUUGUUAUAUCUUUUUUGACCACCAUUAAUACAAUGGUUAUAAGGUAGAGCCUCUCUACCUUUUCAGUCAAAAAAAAAUAUGGAUAAGUGCAAGCAAGUUUUCAUCAA